GGGGAAUAUUGCACAAUGGGCGAAAGCCUGAUGCAGCGACGCCGCGUGAGGGAUGACGGCCUUCGGGUUGUAAACCUCUUUCAGCAGGGAAGAAGCGAAAGUGACGGUACCUGCAGAAGAAGCGCCGGCUAACUACGUGCCAGCAGCCGCGGUAAUACGAAGGGUGCAAGCGUUAAUCGGAAUUACUGGGCGUAAAGCGCGCGUAGGUGGUUUGGUAAGAUGGAUGUGAAAUCCCCGGGCUCAACCUGGGAACUGCAUCCAUAACUGCCUGACUAGAGUACGGUAGAGGGUGGUGGAAUUUCCUGUGUAGCGGUGAAAUGCGUAGAGAUCAGGAGGAACAUCCGUGGCGAAGGCGACUGCCUGGGCCAACACUGACACUGAGGCACGAAAGCGUGGGGAGCAAACA
Molecule: ribosomal RNA, 406 nt
Filed under: uncultured bacterium
Lineage: Bacteria
Description: bacterial SSU rRNA
Rfam family: Bacterial small subunit ribosomal RNA
Source: RNAcentral